UGGGGUAUAUUGGACAAUGGGCGCAAGCCUGAUCCAGCCAUGCCGCGUGGGUGAUGAAGGCCCUAGGGUUGUAAAGCCCUUUCGGCGGGGGAGAUAAUGACGGUACCCGCAGAAGAAGCCCCGGCUAACUUCGUGCCAGCAGCCGCGGUAAUACGAAGGGGGCCAGCGUUGCUCGGAAUCACUGGGCGUAAAGCGCACGUAGGCGGAUUGCUAAGGCAGGGGUGAAAUCCUGGAGCUCAAUGCCAGAGCUACCUUUGAUACUGGCGACCUUGAGUCCGGGAGAGGUGAGUGGAACUGCGAGUGUAGAGGUGAAAUGCGUAGAUAUUCGCAAGAACACCAGUGGCGAAGGCGGCUCACUGGCCCGGUACUGACGCUGUGGUGCGAAAGCGUGGGGAGCAAACA
RNAcentral lists this ribosomal RNA (402 nucleotides) under uncultured bacterium. Its description in RNAcentral is "bacterial SSU rRNA". It matches the Rfam family "Bacterial small subunit ribosomal RNA", at positions 355 to 774 of the family's 1533-position model. The record is from RNAcentral.